Molecule: ribosomal RNA, 467 nt
Filed under: uncultured bacterium
Lineage: Bacteria
Description: partial 16S ribosomal RNA
Rfam family: Bacterial small subunit ribosomal RNA
Source: RNAcentral
ACGAACGCUGGCGGCGUGCUUAACACAUGCAAGUCGAACGGAAAGGCCCUGCUUUUGUGGGGUGCUCGAGUGGCGAACGGGUGAGUAAUACGUGAGUAACCUGCCCUUGACUUUGGGAUAACUUCAGGAAACUGGGGCUAAUACCGGAUAGGAGCUCUUGCUGCAUGGUGGGGGUUGGAAAGUUUCGGCGGUUGGGGAUGGACUCGCGGCUUAUCAGCUUGUUGGUGGGGUAGUGGCUUACCAAGGCUUUGACGGGUAGCCGGCCUGAGAGGGUGACCGGCCACAUUGGGACUGAGAUACGGCCCAGACUCCUACGGGAGGCAGCAGUGGGGAAUAUUGCACAAUGGGCGGAAGCCUGAUGCAGCAACGCCGCGUGCGGGAUGACGGCCUUCGGGUUGUAAACCGCCUUCGCCUGUGACGAAGCGUGAGUGACGGUAAUGGGUAAAGAAGCACCGGCUAACUACGUG